GGCGCGGCGUGGGAAGCGGGUGUGCGUUUAAUAAUCGGUCGUGAGAAUACAGUACUAGAAAAAAGUCUGCAGUUUGCGAUGAACCCAAGACAGAAGUUGCUUGCGAGGCUGAGUCGAGGUGGGCCUGAGCCCCACCGCUCAUAAAGUGGGGUGCUACUUUAGGGAAAUUCGAGAAUGUGGGAAUUCUAAAAAAGAUAUUUUUUUUUUUUUGCUGGUGUCCUGGAGGAGACAACUACCUUCAUUAAUAACCAGGAAAAAGCUGGGUGAAAAAGUGGAGAACCGGGACCACAAGUACUGGGUGGGCGUCCUGCCCCUCACACUAAACUAUAAAUGUCUCUGGAUUCUGCUAGCAGCCUUCGUACAGCUUUCAAUAAGUUCCGAACAUCACAGUCUGGAGUUCCAGUCCACAGUACAGCAGGAUCUGGACAGAUUUAAUCAGACGACUGUAUUUGACGGUGAAAUCGUCUUUUAUUGUGAUGAUAACGGGCUGAGAGACGAACCCAGACAGGACUGGGUCCAUCAAACAUUCAAUACUGAAGAUCUGGAGGAAAGACGGGACUUCUGUAGUUAUCAGUACCAGGAACAAGUAACACGAUUUGAGGAAAUCCUGGAAAUGAUCACUGAUACAGCAGGUUUUGUCCAGAGACGCCGCGGCUGCACUGGCAACAGGUCAGAGGUCACAAGUUUUGACAAAUGGGGUCUAAAUGGUGACGACUUUCUGACCUUCAACACCACGACCCAAACAUGGGAACCUGAUUCUGAACUGGCUGCUCCAGUAGCUUCAAUCUGGAACCAGAACAGUUACUGGGAUCUUGUAGAUGGUGAAUUCAGCCAGAACUGGUGCAGAAAAAUCCUUCAUGUGUUUGUAGAGAAGAAAGCAGCAGGGAGGAAACAUCCAGAAACAGAUGUAUUAGACAAAGAGACCAUCACCGUUUGGAACUGGACGAAAGUGGUCGUGGUCGUGGUCGUGGGUCUGGUGCUUGUUCUUUUCUGCCUUGUUGCCUGUUACAUCAGACGAAAUGAAAGAUGUCAAGAGCUGAUCAGAGGGCAACAUCACAUCAGGAACGUUGAAGAGAACAAUAACCGUCUUCUCCAUGGCUGAGGUGGCUCCUCACCAGAAGACACUGACAAGCAGACAGUGAAUGAAGUCUGUUCAUCUAACAGCAGUUCAGGUUCUGUAGAAUUACAAGAAGUACCUUUCUCUGGCGAAGUUCUGCUCCAUUCUCCUGGCCGAAAACAGGGGAAACAAAAGGCCGCAGGCGUGUGGUGAUUGCCAGAAGACCAAACAACAUAACACACAAUAAUUGCAGAGUCCACAAAAGAAUGUCGCAGCCGCUUUAAACAGGUGAGUCCCCAGGUGCCGUCUGUUGGGAUGGUUGUUGUGGCACGAGCUGAAUUCUGUGUGACACCGGAUGUUAUACCAUCCAUUCUGUUAAUAGUACAGAAUAGAAUGAAACAUGGUGGCGGCGGUGCUUUGUUUCUUGAAGAAGAGCACAGAGAUUUACUAGACACAACGCGAGACUACGGCAGACUGGCCGAGAGAGCGGAGAGUUCAGGCGCAGAGCGGAUGGAAAACUCGUUGGGACUGAGACCGCCAGCAAACCUUUGCUUGGACUCAACUAAUCUGGCGAAAUCAUGGAAAACGUGGAAAGAAGAGUUUAUGCUGUAUCUCACUUUGGCGGAUGCCGGCGAAAACGUGACACUGAAAGUUCUCAGCUAUCUCAUUGGGGAGACGGGAAGAGAUCUUUGUCACCGGAUUGGACUGAGGACCGAUUGAUAAGUACUUUGGAUGAUCAUCGUAAUCCAAAAGUGAACGAGGCAGUUGAGAGGUACCGUUUUUUGUCAGGAAUCAGUUUUCGGAAGAGAAAGGUGAUAAAUAUGUGUUGGAAAAUAUAUAUAAGUUAUCAUGCAAUUACCUUUUAUUUCCUUUUUGACAUUUAUAUCUCACAUGUAUUAAACUGUAUUAUUCUUUUUAAUAUGCGCACUAUAUUUAAUCAUUAGUCUCUUGGAUGAGAAACUGGUGGGCUAAAGGUUGUUUGCAGAACAGAAUGACCGCGACUUGAUAAGAGGAGGCCUGCAGCCGCAGCGAAGCAAGAAAACAAGAAGACCUUGCCGAUGGAGCGUCUACCAAGAGACAACCCUACAUGCAAAUUAUAAGCUUAUAUGGUGUGAUCCUGUGAUGAAUGUACCGCCCUUUAUUAAAUAAAAAGAGAAGAAGCGGAAGAGACGGCAGAGCUUUUGGAGGCAUGGUUGUCUCUGAUCGCUCUCCUUGCAAGUAAAAAGAACUCAACUGCUUCGUGUCAUAUCUCUCUAUUUUAUAAGUGUUGGAUAAGAUGGAUAACUCUAACAAUAUGUAACGGACUUAAGAAUGCUCGCCAGUACGUGCAAUUUCUGCCAGAUGAAAGACUCUCUGAUCCACGAUAGAAUUGUUUGUCAAGAGAAAACAGCUGAACAAUUGAAGGGUGAGUGGCAGAGGAGGUGCGAAAAGGUCAUAAAUAAACAGAAAUGUCCUGCAUAUGGAAAAAAGUGCAAAAAAUGUGGAAAAGACAAUCAUUAUUCUGCCUUGUGCAGGCUGUAAGUUGGCCUAUAGCGCCCUCUAGCGGCUGUCUCGUCAUAUUAUUUUGGUUACUCUGAAAACGGGAGAAUAAGAAUCCAGAUGGCGGAACAUAGUGCCGAAGCAUUCCCGUAUUGAGCAAGAAUUUUGUUGCUCUGGACAAGAAUUGUCUGUAAGUAUUGGUUAUGACGAGAUAAGCACUUUCUUUUUGUUUUGUGUUUACAAUAUAAUUAUUUGUAUAUUAGUAGCG
This is a long non-coding RNA of Denticeps clupeoides (denticle herring), 2804 nucleotides long. The record is from Ensembl. Lineage: Eukaryota; Metazoa; Chordata; Actinopteri; Clupeiformes; Denticipitidae.